AGCGAACGCUGGCGGCAGGCCUAACACAUGCAAGUCGAACGGAUCCUUCGGGAGUAGUGGCGGACGGGUGAGUAACACGAGGGAACGUGCCUUUUGGUUCGGAACAACUCAGGGAAACUUGAGCUAAUACCGGAUAAGCGCUUCGGGGGAAAGAUGUAUCGCCAUUAGAGCGGCCCGCGUCGGAUUUGGUAGUUGGUGGGGUAAAGGCCCACCAAGGCUACGAUCCUUAGCUGGUCUGAGAGGCUGAUCAGCCACAUUGGGACUGAGACACGGCCCAAACUCCUACGGGAGGGAGCAGAGGGGAAUCUUGCGAAAUGGGCGAAAGCCUGACGCAGCCAUGCCGCGUGAAUGAUGAAGGUCUUAGGAUUGAAAAAUUCUUUCACCGGGGACGAUAAUGACGGUACCCGGAGAAGAAGCCCCGGCUAACUUCGUGCCAGCCGCCGCCGUAA
Molecule: ribosomal RNA, 449 nt
Filed under: uncultured bacterium
Lineage: Bacteria
Description: partial 16S ribosomal RNA
Rfam family: Bacterial small subunit ribosomal RNA
Source: RNAcentral